AACUUUUAACAACGGAUCACUUGGCUCUCGCAUCGAGGAAGAACGCAGCGAAAUGCGAUAAGUAAUGUGAAUUGCAGAAUUCAGUGAAUCAUCGAAUCUUUGAACGCACCUUGCGCCCCUUGGCUAUUCCGAGGGGCAUGCCUGUUUGAGUAUCAUGAACACCUCAACUCUCAUGGUUUGCCAUGAUGAGCUUGGGCUCUGGGCGGUUUUGCUGGCCUAUGGUCGGCUCCUCUGAAACGGAGCAGCUUGCCAGUGUUUGGUGGCGGCGCCGGUGUGCUAACUAUCUAUGCUUGUGCUCGCCCGCCAAGUAACCUUCAGAGGCGGAGGUUCGCUGGAGCUUAUAGAUGUCUAUCCUCAGCGAAGACAGCUUUUUGACCGUUCGAUCUCAAAUCAGGUAGGACUACCCGCUGAACUUAAGCAUAUCAAUAAGCGGAGGCU
Molecule: unclassified non-coding RNA, 438 nt
Filed under: uncultured Tomentella
Lineage: Eukaryota; Fungi; Basidiomycota; Agaricomycetes; Thelephorales; Thelephoraceae
Description: sequence contains ITS2
Rfam family: 5.8S ribosomal RNA (bases 1-155)
Source: RNAcentral